Molecule: ribosomal RNA, 369 nt
Filed under: Notiocoelotes sp. ZZ250
Lineage: Eukaryota; Metazoa; Arthropoda; Arachnida; Araneae; Agelenidae
Description: partial 16S ribosomal RNA
Source: RNAcentral
CUCAAUGAAAUUUCAAUAGCCGCAAUUCGUGCUAAGGUAGCAUAAUCAUUUGUCUUUUAAUUAAAGACUAGAACGAAAGAUUUAACAUUUCUAUUUCUUUCUAAAUUAUACAUCUUAAACUUAUUCCAAAUAUAAAAAAAUAUUUAUAAAAAAAAAAGACGACAAGACCCUAUUGAACUUAACUAUAGUUUAACUGGGGCAGUUAAUUAAAUAUUAUUUUAAUUUUAAAAAAAUUCUAGUAAAAUUAAAAUAUAAAGUUACCAUAGGGAUAACAGCGUAAUAAUUUUCAAAAGAUCUUAUUCAAAAAAUAAUUUACGACCUCGAUGUUGAAUUAAUUACCUAUUAAAUGCAAUAAUUAACAAGGAAGUC